This 497-nucleotide ribosomal RNA is filed under the name uncultured bacterium. RNAcentral describes it as "partial 16S ribosomal RNA". It matches the Rfam family "Bacterial small subunit ribosomal RNA", at positions 28 to 507 of the family's 1533-position model. The record is from RNAcentral.
GAUGAACGCUGGCGGCGUGCCUAAUACAUGCAAGUAGAACGCUGAAGGAAGGAGCUUGCUCUUUCCGGAUGAGUUGCGAACGGGUGAGUAACGCGUAGGUAACCUGCCUGGUAGCGGGGGAUAACUAUUGGAAACGAUAGCUAAUACCGCAUAACAGUAGAUGUUGCAUGAUAUCUACUUAAAAGGUGCAAUUGCACCACUACCAGAUGGACCUGCGUUGUAUUAGCUAGUUGGUGAGGUAACGGCUCACCAAGGCGACGAUACAUAGCCGACCUGAGAGGGUGAUCGGCCACACUGGGACUGAGACACGGCCCAGACUCCUACGGGAGGCAGCAGUAGGGAAGCUUCGGCAAUGGACGGAAGUCUGACCGAGCAACGCCGCGUGAGGGAAGAAGGUUGUCGGAUCGUAAAGCUCUGUUGUAAGAGAAGAACGAGUGUGAGAGUGGAAAGUUCACACUGUGACGGUAUCUUACCAGAAAGGGACGGCUAACUACGUG